GCUCGGCUAGCUUACUCGGUAGAGCGUAAGACUCUUAAUCUCAGGGUCGUGGCUUAGAUCCCCACGUUGGGCA
Molecule: non-coding RNA, 73 nt
Organism: Danio rerio (zebrafish)
Lineage: Eukaryota; Metazoa; Chordata; Actinopteri; Cypriniformes; Danionidae
Source: Rfam